CAGGUGUAUAGGUACUAGGAUUGGGGGAUGUAGGGCAAUUCUGACACGUGUGGCCACUCUAGUGAUAGGUUCUGUGAUGGAGCCCCCAGCUGUGACAGUGAGGCCAAUGCUAAGUCGGGAAAACGGAGAGCUCCCCUGAAGAGCAGCCAGACCCUGACCCAGGGGCGAGGAGAAACAGGACACACAAAGGACGGGUUCACCUGAGGACACAAUUGUGUCUUUGGAAGUUUGUGGUGCCGUCCUUAUAAAAAGUUUAUUUUCAAGACAUGUUUCAGUUCGCCCCCUAAAUGCCGUACAUUUCCUUGGAGGAAGCACAGAUGUGCGACACUUUCAGCACGGUGGAGAAGUUCUGGGUGUUACUUUUUCCAACUAAUGAACGGAAAAGCCAUGUUUCCUACCGACCACCGCUUCUUUAACUGUACAACAAAUAGAAGAAAGAGAUGACAAAAGCAAGCGAGAGCACUGUUAAGGAAAGCAGCCAUUGCUGGAACCAGAUACAACGCUGAACUUGGUCUUCAAGCUUCCUAUUGCUUUCUAGUAAACGAUUGAGCUAAAGAGGGGAAAAAAGGAUGAAAGUUUGGCAACCUACCAUGGGAGCUGCUGAGAUACCAUACUCACUUGGGAGCCUGCAGAUGGGAUUCUGGAAAACUGGCAGAAGCCCGAGAAGAGUAAGAAUUCUUACCAAAGGCAGCUCUCCUGGAUCUCAGUCUGGUGCAGUUGAGAGAGGAAGGACACAAUUGGAAACAUGGUUGUAUUAUCAAGGUUUUGACUUGAAUGUCAUAUUUGAAAAUGAAAUGCAUAAAGUCGGAUAUGACCAGAUGGCUUUAAGGAACUAAAGACCCUUGGAAACAACUGACCUGGUACCUUGCUUACAGGGUUCCAGACGGCCUUACUAGUAGAAUUCACCUGAUCUUACGAUGUGAAGGAAACCACCCUUUCUAGAUGGGAGGCAGUGCUUUCACCUGGGCCUUCAGUACCAAACCACCAAGUCUCCCUGUUUCUGUGAGGAACUUCUUUCCAGAACUGAGUCAAUUCUGCUGGGCCCGUGCCAGAUGACUGUUCCAUUUCUGCAGCCAUGAUCAGAAAACGGUCUUGGGCAGAGACUGUUAAACCUGCAUUCCCAAAAGGUGAGAAAACAGAUGCCCAGAGUGUGGCGAGGUGACUUGCUGAUACCCUGCUAAUUUCUAGAUUCCAGUCCAGCUUUGCUGAGUCAUCACCCAGCCCCAGGCCCCCCAUAACACCCCACUGUGGCCAGCCAGGUGACAACUCACCCCCGUGGGGAGACACAACUAUAUCAACUGAUGCACCCGGGUCACAACUGCUGUUGCUUGGCUUGACUCUGUACUUUUCUGGAGCAGUUGUUCUCACCUGUUUAUAAAAAACAGUAGUCACAUGACCUUUAUACUC
Long non-coding RNA from Balaenoptera ricei (Rice's whale), 1407 nucleotides. RefSeq lists it as uncharacterized. The record is from RefSeq and is a predicted model, not a curated record. NCBI's taxonomy places the organism in Eukaryota, Metazoa, Chordata, Mammalia, Artiodactyla, Balaenopteridae. The transcript has 7 exons.